RNAcentral lists this ribosomal RNA (253 nucleotides) under uncultured bacterium. Its description in RNAcentral is "partial 16S ribosomal RNA". It matches the Rfam family "Bacterial small subunit ribosomal RNA", at positions 524 to 776 of the family's 1533-position model. The record is from RNAcentral.
GACGAAGGAUGCAAGCGUUAUCCGGAUUCAUUGGGUUUAAAGGGUGCGUAGGCGGUCCUGUAAGUCAGUGGUGAAAGCUCUCAGCUUAACUGAGAAACUGCCAUUGAUACUGCAAGACUUGAGUACAGAUGAUGUUGGCGGAAUAUGACAUGUAGCGGUGAAAUGCAUAGAUAUGUCAUAGAACACCGAUUGCGAAGGCAGCUGACAAAACUGUAACUGACGCUGAGGCACGAAAGUGUGGGGAUCAAGCAGG